This 579-nucleotide ribosomal RNA is filed under the name Purpureocillium lilacinum. Its description in RNAcentral is "partial large subunit ribosomal RNA". It matches the Rfam family "Eukaryotic large subunit ribosomal RNA", at positions 65 to 669 of the family's 3401-position model. The record is from RNAcentral. Lineage: Eukaryota; Fungi; Ascomycota; Sordariomycetes; Hypocreales; Ophiocordycipitaceae.
ACAAAAGGGUAUGCCCAGCUCACGGCGAGUGAGCGGCAACAGCUCAAAUUUGAAAUCUGGCCCCCAGGGCCCGAGUUGUAAUUUGCAGAGGAUGCUUUUGGCGCGGUGCCUUCCGAGUUCCCUGGAACGGGACGCCAUAGAGGGUGAGAGCCCCGUCUGGUCGGACGCCUAGCCUGUGUAAAGCUCCUUCGACGAGUCGAGUAGUUUGGGAAUGCUGCUCUAAAUGGGAGGUAUAUGUCUUCUAAAGCUAAAUACCGGCCAGAGACCGAUAGCGCACAAGUAGAGUGAUCGAAAGAUGAAAAGCACUUUGAAAAGAGGGUUAAAUAGUACGUGAAAUUGUUGAAAGGGAAGCGCUUGUGACCAGACUUGGGCCCGGUGGAUCAUCCAGCGUUCUCGCUGGUGCACUCCGCCGGGUUCAGGCCAGCAUCAGUUCGCCGCGGGGGAAAAAGGCUUCGGGAACGUGGCUCCUACGGGAGUGUUAUAGCCCGUUGCAUAAUACCCUGGGGCGGACUGAGGUUCGCGCUCCGCAAGGAUGCUGGCGUAAUGGUCAUCAGCGACCCGUCUUGAACCACGGACCAA